Molecule: long non-coding RNA, 684 nt
Organism: Choloepus didactylus (southern two-toed sloth)
Lineage: Eukaryota; Metazoa; Chordata; Mammalia; Pilosa; Megalonychidae
Exons: 3
Source: RefSeq, a predicted model, not a curated record
GGCUCUGGUCACUUCGCCACCGUGGCAGGCUGCGGGGCGCAGGCAUGGCGGGGAGAGGCGGGGGCGGCCGGGCGGCACACUGAAUCGACCCGCCGCCCCUGGAGCAGCGCACCCGCCGGGCCCCGAAAGCCCCGACCGGACUGAGCAGCCGCUCGGCCGCGCGGGGUCCCGUCGAUCGCCCCGGCUCUGCCGCCGCCUCCCGCGUUCGCUCCGGCCGGGAAAUCAGGGGACCGCAGCCGCCGCCAAGGACCAGGCUCGAGGCUACGCGAGGGGCGCCGCAACUUCGCCGCCAGCGGGGGCCGCCGCGGUGGAUUUGGCUGGAAGCAGGGGGAUGAGGAACACACAGAAGAGGACCUGGCAUCUGUCAUCCCAUCAACAGUCCUCAGUGAUUCUCCCAUGAACUGCAUGUGGGAAUGUGAGCCCCGGGCCUGGCCUUCCCUGCCAGGUGAUGAUAGUGGAGCACGCUGGGAUGAAGGAGUCAAUGGAGCACAGCCCGGAGCAGCGUUAGGGCCUCCGCGUGUGAGCUGAACAUGCCUGGACACAGCUGGAAUGUGGACAUCUGGGGCUGCCACUGCUGCUGGGGAGAAGAGCUGGGUGCUGCGGAGAGAAGUGGGCAACCCCACAGUGUGCUAUUUUGUACGUUUUGACCUUGGUGUGCUCAAUAUAUCAAAAAUUUUAUCAUUU